ACUUAGUGCAGUGGGUAUCUAUAGUCCCAGCUACUUGGGAGGCUAAGGUGGGAGGAUGGCUUGAGCCCAGGAGUUCUGGGAUGUAGUGUACUACGCUGGCUGGGUGUCCACACUAAGUUUGGCAUUGAUAUGGUGGCCUCUGGGGAUUCCACGUGGCCUAAAGAGAGGUGAACUGACUUGGGUCAGAAACGAGCAGGUCAAAACUCUUGUGCUUAUCAGCAGUGGGACUGAGCUUGUGAAUAGCCACUGUACUCCAGACUGGGCAACAUAGCAAAACCCCAUCUCUA
Unclassified non-coding RNA from Callithrix jacchus (white-tufted-ear marmoset), 287 nucleotides. It matches the Rfam family "Metazoan signal recognition particle RNA". Rfam says of the family: The signal recognition particle (SRP) is a universally conserved ribonucleoprotein. It is involved in the co-translational targeting of proteins to membranes. The eukaryotic SRP consists of a 300-nucleotide 7S RNA and six proteins: SRPs 72, 68, 54, 19, 14, and 9. Lineage: Eukaryota; Metazoa; Chordata; Mammalia; Primates; Cebidae. The record is from Ensembl.